CGGUGAACAGGAGGGAGUCUGAAAGUUUUUAGAGAUGAGACAUUUGUGUUUCUCAGCUCCCAUGGCCUCGCCUGAAACUGUUUCCCUCCAUAGGAGAUUUGAGUAACCGAUCCCUUGACAAACAACUUAGGACAGCUGGAGCUCUAAUCGUCAAGGAUUUUUUUGGUGCUGCUUUUGAAGUAAAAAUAAAGUGAAACCCCUUAUGGCAUUUCAAGUGGAAAAAUAAAUAAGGAUGGCUUCCAACCAAGGGGCUUAAGGUGAUGGCUGGAAGUGCGAGAGUGUGGCAGGUACUGUGGCUGUGACCUUUGAGACAAAGCGAGUAGCUUGUCAGGGAUCUGUGCUGAGUGUCCACCUCUCAAUCUCUUUUCCUUCUAGAAAACCUCAGUGAGCACUGCUGUCCAAAGCACAGUGCUGUUGUAAGGGUUUAUGGAGGUAACCGUUGCGAAAGGGCUUUGGUGAUUUCAUAGGUCACAUGUCUUAUCUAGAUUUUUAAUUUAUUGCCAUAAAGGUUUGUAUUUUCUCCUUCCCCUUUUAAAUUUCCCCAUUGUCAGUUUGUCCCUUUUUUUCAUUCCUAGCAUUGCUUGUCCAUGCUUUCUUUUUUCUUGACCAAAACUUGCCAAAGAUUUAUCUAUCUUAAAGAUAUUUUCAAAGACUUGAACUUGUAUUGAUUAUAUAUGCUGAAUAUUUUCUGUCUGGUCCUCUUGUGCUUUUACCUCUGAAUUCUUCUUUUCUGGAUAUAUUUCAUGGUUCAACAAAGUCUUGACAAGCUGCAGAGUCCUACACAUGGAAAGGAAGAUAUAUUCAGCAAAAACUGAGCCCUUGUAUGAGGCUUGCCGGGGAUUUCGGGGCAAGACCCAGGCCUGACCCUCCAGGAGCGCAUGAUUCUAGCCUAGUGGGGAAGACUUAAGAAAAUAGACAAUUGCAAAUUCCAAAAACAAAACAAGCAAACAAACAGGGCUUUUGUGGCCCCACUCUCCCGUGGAGGCACCUGGAUGAUAAAUGAAGCCAAGAUUAUUGUUUAUUUUGCUCUUCCUCAGAAAGCAGCUUUCUGUUGUAGGUCAAGCCCGCUUAAAAGUUACAAACAGGCCUCCCUCUGAAAGAUUUGUGGCCCUUUCCCACAGGGAGCCUGCAGCCCACUCCCCCCCCAAGGUGACUGCCAAAUCAGCAUUCUGUCUCUGAGGCAGCGCUGCUUUCUACCUUGGCAAGGCAGCACCGGCAAGCACCCUGCCUUCUCUUUCUGAAACACCUUUCAGGAAAAUGAAAAGUAGAUACCUCUUGGGAAAAGAACAGGGGCACUGGGCCUUCGAAAAUCAUGCUGUGCGAUCCCUCUGGUUGCUGUGGCUUCCAGUGUGAAAUGGUUGCUCACAGGGUACCUGGUAACCACAAGACCCCUUGAGGCUUCUGUCAGAACUGCUCUGUGCGCUGCUCUGGACCUCACCUUCCUUAUAGAUAAAAUGUGGUAUUUGGAACAAACAGUUCCUAACCCUAAAUACUGGGAAUCCUUCAUAAGGUUCUUAAAGUGCUCCUGGAUGCACUUGAGGAAGGUGACUGAGCUCUGGAAAGGUGGCAGUUCCCUUGCAGGACAGCCUGCAUCUGCUUUAUGAUUAAGUGUACCCUGUGAACCUAGAUAUGCCUCUGUCAGGAAGCCUUCCUGAACUUCAUCCCUCUGCCUGAAGAUCACUUGCCUAGAGCUCUUUGCUCAACCCUCUGUUGAGUGGCAGUGCUAGUGCUUCUGCUCAUCAGAUGUCCGCUAAGCAGUGACUCGGUUUCUCCCACCCCUCAGGGGAACCUGCACUGUUAUUCAUUCAGUCAGGGGAUAGGAGUGGGCCUGAGGGCCACACAGAGUAGACAGUGCCUGCCAUUAAGGAGUCAUCCAGGCUAAUGGAAAAGGGUGGGAUAUUGGGUAAAUAAUCCCACCAAUACAUAUAAAACUAUGAAUGGCGGCAGGUGCUAUAACAGGAGUCCAAAGGGGGAUCUGAUGCAAGCCAGGGAGGAUUGAUGUUCAGGCUGAGACCUGAGGACAAAUAAAUGUUUGGGCAGUGAACUAAUAAAUGAGAUGUUAUUUCUCAGCAUUUCAUCAAGCAUCUUUGUUCUUGAAGAUAAAGAAAUGGGGCUGAAAGUCAAAUGAAGGGCCACCAGUAGCUGGCUGCCCUAGAAUCAAAGCCCCAGAAAGCUUUUGGGGAUAGAAGUCAGGCUAUUCAAAGCUUCAAGAACUGUACUGGAAGAUACUGAGGGGCCUGAGGCUGACAUGCUAGUGGCGGGCCCCCAAACAGUGCCGAGGAACUCUUCGAUUUCCAGCUGACUUGGAAGCAUCACAAACAGGGAUCUGGUGGGAAUAGGGGAUGACCCAAUCCGAACAGCAUUUUUAAGGUGAGAUUCUUUCAGCAAGGAACAGGACAGCUAACAUUUGAGUAGUGAAGGCUAUAGGGCUGUUGAGAAGGCCAUUGUCCUGUCUGGCUCCUGAGAAACAAGGAAAAGUGGAUCUAAGUAGUGAUGGUGGUUGGAGAGAUGAAGGGAGGAGAAAGUAAGCUGGGGAGGGAGGAGGAUGGAGAAAGGUGAUGGAAGGAAAGUUGCCUCCCAUGGAACAGCUUCAGGAAAGGAGGCCAGAGAAAGGUUAUCACCGGUGUCUAGUCCCCUGCAUCCAGUGCAAAGCUCACCCCUCACCCUCUACCCACCCCAUAAUGGGUGAGAGGGUCACCACUCUGAAAAGAGGGAAGAGCAAAGAAGUGCUCUUCCCAACAAGUACUGUAAGGUGAUCCUGACUCAGAGGGGUUUAUCCAGCCUCUGCCCAGUACUUUGCCUCACCACUGUCUUCCCAAAAGCCAGAAGAGGGGUAAGUUUGGUCUGCCAAACUUCAGAGAAAGAAGUCAGUAUCUUGAGAAAAACUUUAAUGAUAGAGUGGGCUUGGGGAAGGGAGAAACCUGGCCCACCAAUGGCUGAAGACUUCAUAUGGAAGCCAUUGGUCUCCCUUUAACGUAUUGGGACUCAAACAGUGGGUGGGAGUAGACUUGGGGAACAGUUUAGGACCAACAGACCUUGAGAGGUGAGCUUCAGGGAGCCCUGGACCCUAUGCCCCCGCCUUUGUGACCACACCUCCUGGAGCCUGUUUCCUCACCUGUAAAAUGGACAUCUUAACAUCCACCGUAGCCUGGCUCAAGAUGCAGUCUUCACAAAUGUUAUUCCCUUUCUUCUUUGGCCGUCCACCUCUAACCCUUAUUGGGCUCAAGCCUCUUAGGGAUGUGAUCUGAUCAUCCAACUCUCCUGCUCAUUUGUUCAUGCUAAAGCAUUUGUCAGGCCCUGUGCCAAGCUUUGAGAAGCUGAUGCAGAACAAGACCAUGCUGUCCUUGAGCUCAGCCCAGCAGGAAGGAGGCACCCUAGCAGCCCAAUAGGCAGAUCUUUGGAGUGCCAGAUCUGGCCUCUCACCUCUUUUCUUGGGCAGCUGUGGGGAGUCUACACUUGGCCAGCUUAGCACUUCUGCCAAAGCUAAACCCUCAGCCAAUUCCCUGCCCCACACUGGUGGUUGCAGCCCUCUAAGGAGGCCCGACCCCCACCCACUUUCAUUUCCCAUGUGACUUUGUUCUCUUCUGCUCACUCUUCCCAAGGCGUCUGUUCCCUGUAUAUAUGCCAAGGAGGGGACUGCACCAGACCGGAAGUCUUUAACAUUUCCAGAGCCAUCAGUGAACUUCACCCUUGUUAUUUCACUACUCUUGUUACUUCUUAGAGAUACAGGGUGAAAGUGUGUUACAAUAAGCAAGUGUUUCAUGAAAGGAUUUUUUUGCAUUAAAGACUAAACUUCAAAUCUAUUGGGUGCAGGAUCUGAGAGUCAGGGCACACUUGGGAAGAUCCCUGAGGGAAGAAGGCAAACAAAGCCCAUCAGUGACUCCCUGUUGCCUGUGCUCCCAACUCAGGUUGGCCAUCAAAACCCUGUACAACCCUUGAGGGUGGGCACUUGGUCUUCAUCUCUUGACCAGGCAUCGCCUGACCAGACCUGGCCGGGAACCUGCUGAUUAGCUGGCCAGGGGAGUGGAUGGAGGGAUGGCUCUAAUCUGGGACUUUCUAAGGACUUAGGUGGCCCAGUCCUUCCUACAAGUAAGAAAAUUCAGUUUGUGUCCCAGUGUCUCCUUAGCUACUCUGAAGUGACAAUAUUUUCCAGCCUCCAGAUGAAUAGUUCAUGCACAGAAAUCACGGAGACUACUAUUUCUCAGAUAUGUGAGAAUAACCUUGUAAAAGGCUCUACAGCCUGGCAUGCUCCUGCCAACAGGUGGCUAUGAGUCACAUGUUCUCUCUGGGCCUCAAUUUCCCCAUGUGCACAAUGAGGCAGUUGGACUAGGUAAUCUCGAGUUGCUUUCCAGUUCUAGCAUCGCCUUCAGAUGCCCUGGUACCUAAGCAGUCAUUGGACAGAAGGCGUGGUGACUCCAGGGUCUGGGUCAAGUCCACAUCUUGGAACAUGGAUGAAUCUUGGUGAUGGCUGCAGCCUCCAGAAGAUGAGCUUGGCAGAACUGGCUGGGAGAUUUUUCUGCCACUGGCAACAUGUCCUGGCAGAGUUGAUGCAGGUAGGUUGAUGCAGAUGAGGGGCAGGGUUGGGCUCUCCCUUCUCUUGUGAUCCCUGUAUCAUGCUUAUUUGCAGGAUCAGAAGCCUCCAGAACUGGUGGGUGCUGGCUAGAUUCAGCCAUUCAUAUUGGCAAAGCGGGUAAACGGUCUUUUCACACACUGUCCUGGGAGGGCUUCCAGAAAGGUUUUCUGCUUCCAUUCCUUGAAGUCCUCUCUCUAUUUCAUUGUCUGUGCCUGGAAUCAUACUUUCUCAUAGCCUUCCAAUUCCCCAUCCAGGUGGCAUGUUCUGUGAGAAGAUUGUGGCUCUGAUGCCAUAACCAGUCAGGAAUGGUUUAGCUCAGAGUCAGAGCCAUGAGAGUAAUUCUUGUCCAAAAUUGGGGCUCUGACUAUUGAAAGAAAAAUAUUAAUCCAUUUCCAGUGUCACCUCAGAACACACACCCAAGUUCAAAACCUAUUUUAAAAAGUCAAAAAGGAGAUAUGAGCCCAUUAAAAGCCAGGGAAGAAAUGAAUUGGAUAAUUAAUGAGUGAAUGGAGAACCCCACUAGGGUAAAAAGCAACAAAAUGACAUCAAGCAGGCAAAGACCAGCCAAUCUGACUACAUAAAACUAAGUAUUUCCAAAGUCAAACCAUACCACAAACAGAACCAAAAAGUAAUGGGUAAACUAUUUGCAGAUCCAUAUGUGUAAAAGGACACAAGCAAACCUUAACAGUAAAAAUGCAACCAAGAAGUGUAUACCUAAAUUGACCUUACAGAAGAGGAAAUAGAACUGAUUAAAAGUUUUUUUGAGAAAAUAAUCCACUAAUAACCAAAGAUCAACAAUAAAAAACAAUAAAGAGUGAUGCCUGGAUGGCUCAGAUGUUAAACUUCCAACUCAUGGUAUCGGCUCAAGUCAUGAUCUCAGGGUUGUGGGACUGAGCCCUGCAUCAGGCUCCAUGCUAAGCAUGGAGCCUGCUUAAGAUUCUCUCUCUCCCUCUCCCUUUGCUCCUCUCUUGGAAAAAAAAAAAGGAAAUAUGAGUUUUCACCAACAAAUUAAGGGGGAAAGUUUGAGGAUACCAAAUGCUGAUGAGGAUACAGUGGGCCAGGCACUAUUAUUCAGUGCUAAGGGGACUGUGAAUUGGUGUAAACUUUUUGAAAAGUAGUAUGAGAGUCAAAGAGAAGGAGCAAGAUGAAAGUUUCAAGAAAGGGCAAGUGGCCUAUAUAUUUACACAUUUAUUGUCUACUUUGUGUCAGGCAUGGUGCUAGGUGUUAAAAUAUGAAAAUAAAUGAGAUAUAGCAUAUCUUGGGCAUAUAAUCAAAGAGGUAAGAUACACAGAUACUAAAAUGAUGUGUACUAAGAAGGCCAGAGAUGUGCUUGGGACAUGAGCAAAGCAUGGAGCAGCUAGGAUGGGUGGUGCAAAUGUGAGGCUUUAUAGGAGUAUCUGGGGGGUUCUUAGAAGAGAUGCCCAAAUGAGCAAGAGUCACAGAGACAGAAGUCAGCAUCAUGAAUGAGCUCGUAGAUAGUUCAGGGUUGCCAGAGCAUGAAGUAAGAAGUAGGGGAUGGAGAAGCUGGGACCAGAUCACACAGUGCCAUGUCUGUCCAGUUGAAGAGCUGGGUCAUCUUCCUCUUGACAAGAGGGACCCUUUGAAACACUUUGAGCAGCCAGGUCCCAAGGUGUAAGAUUUAUGUUUUAGGGUGACUACUCUGGUUGCUUGGAGACAUUUGGAGGGGCAAAGACUAAUGAGAUGAUUGUGUUGGUCCAAGUAGAAAGGGCAAGGCCUGAAUUAGGGCAGGGGCCAAGAGGAUGGAGAGAAGGUAAAGUUAGAAAAACCUAAAAAACAAAACAAAAACAGAAACAAACCUGCUGGCUGACUAAUGGGUUAAAGAAAGUCAAGGGUGCCUUCCCUGUUUCUGUCUUGGGUGACUGGGUGGAUGAAAGAAUACCCAAGAGAAAGGACAGACUUAGGGGCUGGAGGAAGAUUGUUGAGCUCAAUUUAGGACAGGUUGAAUGAAAGGUGGGCAUCCAGGUGGAGGUGGCCCACAAGGAGCUAGGAAGAGGGUUUGGAUCCAGCGGGAGAUUUGAACAAAAGAUUUGGUUUAUAACUGAUUGCGAUUGUAGCUGUGGGCUUUGAUGAGGAGGAUAGCUGGAGAACUAGGGAUGAGCUUGAAGGAGAAGGUGCAGAAUUCCCAGAGCAGGGCCAGAUACUGAGCUGUGAUGGGCAUUUUAAGAAUGGAUGCAGGAGAGGACCUGCCAAGGAGACUGAGCAAGAAGGGCUAGAGGAGAAGACCAGAAAAGUGGGCAUCCCAGAAACCCAGGGAGGUGAGAUUUUCCAUGGGUCAGUGUGGCUACUGGUGGGCCCGAUGCACAGAGGUCAGGGGAGAGAAGGGCAUCUCCCACACCUGGUUUUGGGGUCCUUCGCCACAGCAACUCUGGGGGAGGGAUGACCUGGAGUCUGGCCGAGAAAGCAAGAGAGGAAAGGGAGAGCUGGGGCGGGGGGGACAGCAGGGCCCAGGAAGGUGCUGUGUCUUACCCACUGACAUUUGGAGGGUGGAGGGCUGUGGGAGCCAAGUUUGAGGAGCAGGAACGGGUCACACAAGGGGCCCCGGGAAUCGUGAGAUUAAGUGUGGAGGUGAAGGGAUUAGCCUUGUUGGUGGAAAGAGGCAAAAUUAAAUCAUGUACAUCUUACGAGGUAACUUGAUCUCCAUGUUCUUCUGGAGGCUUUUUCUCUGCCCUCUGGGCACCGACUACAGCUCUAAUUAGCAGUAGUUUCAUCCUGCCUCAUGUCUGGGGCCAUGUCUUCCUCGUUUCUUGUACCUUUUGGCACCUAGCAACAGACAGCGAGCUAGGUAGAGGCAGAAUAAUUAUCUUCUGCUUGAAAUCAAAUGCCUGAAAUGGAGGUUCAGAAUUCUGUUUCAUCACAAAGGUUUUAUGACAAUUCCCAGGGAAUCAGUGAACAAGGAAAUAAAAUUCAAGGUUGGGGCUGCCUUGGAUGUGAGGCUGUCUGCAUCUCAGGAGAUACAACCUGUAAUCCUCUGUGGGCAGAACUCUACAGUUUACAUGGUGGAUCAUUAUGUUUGUCUCAUAACCCCAUCCUCCCACCCCAGAUGGAUAACCAGCUUGCUAAGCACCAUUUAUUAUCCCAACACCAUCUUUUCUCCCAGUUCCCUAUGUCUAGACUAUUCAGAUCUGUUGAUCUGUCUACUUCUGGGCCAAUACCAGACUUUAAUGAGCAGAGCUUUCUUUUACUGCCUGAUAAGACAUGGUGUGUACACACUGGAGGUGUUGCUCUCAGGUUAGUGUACCCUGCAAGAUUCCUAGUGUAGCUUGUUGCAGCUGGUGACUGGUGGCCAUAACCGAUUACACCACGUUUGAUUUCCUUGCUUCCUGUUAAUUGACUGUUAAAAUGUUCCCAGUUCCAUUCCAUUAAGACAAAUCUGUGAGAGCAUCCUUGUACAUUGCCUGUUUUGCACAUGUACAAGUGUUUCUCUGGGACAGAUACUUGAAAAUGGAAUUGAUGGGUCAUAGGGUACAUACAUCUUGAAUUCUAAUAGGAACCGCUAAAAUGUUCUCCGAAGUACCUUACUAAUGUAAUCUCCUGCCAGCUGCAUAUGAGCAUCCAUUUCCCAGGCUGUUUCCAAGUUUUACAUGUAUAACCAGUCUGAUGAGUGAAAAAUAGUAUCUUGUUUCCAUUUGAAUUUUUCUGAUUUACCUACAAGACUGAAGUCUUCAUCUAUUUACUGUCCAUAUUUAUAUUUCCUCCUCUGGAUUGCUUGUCCACAUCCUUUGCCUAUUUUUUUAAAGUUUUUUUCUUUUGUCUUUUUGCUAUUGACCUUUAGGAGUUCUUUAUGUAUUUUGAAUACUAAUACUUUGUUAUGUAUAUUGCAAAUGUUUUCUACACUGUGAUUCUUGUUACUUAAUUAUAUGGUAUCUUUUGUCUCAGAAAUUUAAAAUUUGAUAAAUCAAAUUUAUCAAUCUUACUUUUAUGUCUUUUUUACAGUCUUAUUUAAGAACACCUUUGCUAUAUGAAGGCCAUAAGCAUUUCCUAUGUUUUCUCUAAAAAUUAUAGUUUACAUAUAAAUAUAUAUUUAAGCCUUUGUACUAUAUACACAAACUAAAUUCUAUAUGCAUGGAUCUUAAGAUCUGACUUUAAACUCCCCAUUCCCAAAUAGAUAGGUAAUUGUCCUAACACCAUUUAUGUAAUAAUAUAUCAUGUCUCCACUGAUUUAAAAUUGCUACCUUCACCUGACACUAAAUUCCAAUGCGAGUCUAUGUCAGAGCUCUUUCUGGUCCACUGAUCUAUUUGUCUACUCCUGAGCUUGAUAAUAUGCUUUACCAACUGGCGGGACAAAUCCCACCCUCUUUGUUGUUUUUGCAAAAUUGCCUUGGUCAUCCUUGCAUAUUUGUCCCACCACAUGAAUUUUUAAAUCAGUCUGCCGGGUUUCAGGAAAAAUUUCAUUGGGAUUACUUUGAGUUUACGGGUAAGUUUGAAGAAAAUUGGCAUCUCUGGCAUAUUUGGUCUUCCUACCAGUACACAGUGCCAGGCUACCUCUCUUAGGCCUGGUCUUAUAUGUCUUCCUGGGAAGUUUUACAUGUUCCUCUGGUCAAAGUCUUGAAUAUUUCUUGAUAAAUUUAUUCCUGGAUUUAUCUUAGGUUUGGCUGUCACCUGAGAAUAGACCUCUCCUUUGUUUGUUUGGCCCUUGUUUUUCUUUAUUCCAUUUCAACCUGUUUACUAAUCACUGUGCUUGGUUUGCAGACACACACACAAAGUAACUGUUCUUUCUCCCUGGCACAAACAUAUGAGCAUAACCAAACACAUGGAGCUGGCAUAAUUGGCUGAAAACAAAUUAGAACCGUUUUAAAUUAUACUUUAAUUAAACACGCAGAGCAUGAAUACAUUCUCCUUUUUAAAAGUAGAACAAUACCAAUAUAGCUAAAGUUUCCUUUGGCCACCCUCUGAAACCCUGGUUUCCUACCCCCUCCACAACUUUAUGUGUCUCCUUUCAUAGAAAUGUAUAGUAGUCAUGUAGAUAUUUUGAAUGGAUCAUCCCACUUUAUGAGGAUUUUACUGUAAUUAUUUCACUCAAUCAUAUAUUUUUAGAAUAUACUCAUACAAAUGGCUCUUGCUGGUUCCUUUUAGUAGCUGUAUUGUAUUCAUUCCUCUGAUAAUACCACAUUUUCUCUUCUCUAAGAUCCUUGGACAAACGCAGUUGCUUUCUUUUCUUUCCUCCAUCAUAAGCAGCACUGCAGAAAACAGCCUUGCACAUGCUUGCUCUGUAAUUUUUUUCUGGGAUUGAGAAUGGAAUUUGGGGUCCCAAGGUGUCCACAUUUUUAGUUUUAACAGAUACUACCAAUGUGUCCUCCGUAAUUUCUGUAUCGUUUAAACUUCCAGUAAGAGGAUAUGAGAGGACUCAAAUCCUCAUACCAUAAGCAGCUGUUUUAAAUAUUUGCCAAUCUGAUGGGUGAAGAAUGGAAGCAUUUUUUAUAUGUCGGUAGAUAUGUUUGCAAGUGAGAUUUUCAUGGGCACUGACAUUUGUAUUUUCCUUUUUCUGAAUUAUCUGUUUAUUUUUGCUCAUUAAAAUAGAUGGUUUGUCUUUAUCUUAUUGACUUGUGGAAUUUCCUAAUAUAACCCAGAUAUUAAUCUCUUAUAUAUACAUGGCGAGUAUUUUCUUCUGGCUCAUCUGUUGCCUUUAACUCUUUGUAGGCUCUUUUAGAAGUUAUCAGUUUUGACCUAACCAGAUUUAUCAGUCUUUUCCUUUAUUCCUUUUAUGGAUAUAUCACACUUAAGCCUUUCUCACACCUAUGGCUUAAAUAUAUUCUGUAUUCUUGUCUAAUAAAUUUGUCUUUAUUUGGGUCUUUCA
This is a long non-coding RNA of Canis lupus familiaris (dog), 10388 nucleotides long. RefSeq lists it as uncharacterized. The record is from RefSeq and is a predicted model, not a curated record. The transcript has 3 exons. NCBI's taxonomy places the organism in Eukaryota, Metazoa, Chordata, Mammalia, Carnivora, Canidae.